This 446-nucleotide ribosomal RNA is filed under the name uncultured bacterium. RNAcentral describes it as "bacterial SSU rRNA". It matches the Rfam family "Bacterial small subunit ribosomal RNA", at positions 329 to 792 of the family's 1533-position model. The record is from RNAcentral.
GUCCAGACUCCUACGGGAGGCAGCAGUGGGGAAUAUUGCACAAUGGGGGAAACCCUGAUGCAGCGACGCCGCGUGAGUGAAGAAGUAUUUCGGUAUGUAAAGCUCUAUCAGCAGGGAAGAAAAUGACGGUACCUGACUAAGAAGCCCCGGCUAACUACGUGCCAGCAGCCGCGGUAAUACGUAGGGGGCAAGCGUUAUCCGGAUUUACUGGGUGUAAAGGGAGCGUAGACGGCAUGGCAAGUCAGAUGUGAAAGCCCGGGGCUCAACCCCGGGACUGCAUUUGAAACUGUCAGGCUGGAGUGCAGGAGAGGUAAGUGGAAUUCCCAGUGUAGCGGUGAAAUGCGUAGAUAUUAGGAGGAACACCAGUGGCGAAGGCGGCUUACUGGACUGUAACUGACGUUGAGGCUCGAAAGCGUGGGGAGCAAACAGGAUUAGAUACCCGGGUA